GCUCACUGCCGCAGAACAGCUGUCUCUCCUGCCCGGGAAACCGGAUGCAGCUGCCACGGCUGAUUGCCCUGGCCAGAGUGGACUCUGCGUCAUCCUGCUGCUUUGAGUCACCAGCUCCUGAAUCCAAGUCCAGGGAGGAUGCAUCUGUUCUGCUGCUCCAAGUGCCCCUCACUAGGUUGCAAAGGACCUGAAAAAAAGCAGUGAGCAUUUUCAUUACAGAAAAAGAGGACAGAUUCUACUUUAUCAGAAACACAAACUUAAGGAUCAAAUUUAUCUACUGGGCAACAAGAACAACAACAACAAAAGGACAGAAACAACCCCUUUACAUUUAAAAAAAUACAAACAUAACCAGAAUACGUAUUUGCAUGUAAAGAAAAAUCUCUGGCUCUCAAGAAGAAACAAGAUGGCAGAAGUGUGAGACGGAGAAGAGGUUGCUCACCUCACGGGGGUCAGUAAGCAGAAGGUGUCAAACAAGGAGCGACAAACUGAGCUACAUCCUUCCAGGUCUGCCCCUAGUGACCUCUUUUUCUUACCGGACCCCCACCUCCUAACAGCAACCCAGGGAAAAACCGAGAAGAACCCAAAUGACCAACCAAGAGUGCACUAGGGGUCAUUGCCAGGGGCAAAGGGAAGUUGUUUAAGAACAGUUUUCAGUUUUGCAAGAUGAAGUCCUAGAGCUCUGUUGCACAAGAUGGGAAACGGACCCGACGCAGGGAGCAGCUGUUUGAGCGCCCUAAAAUUGAGAUGGAGUCAGUCUCCGGCCCAAAAACAUUAGUUCGUGCGCAGCACCGAAUGAUGGUGAUUUGGAUGGUGGUGACAGGGGUGAUGAUGAUGGCGAUGCUGUUUAAAUUUGAAAUAACGCAACACGAACCACAGCAAGCAGGUAGCUGGGAGAGAAGCCCAGCAUGGGAAGCCCGGAGUUUCUUAGGUCCUUUCCCUCUCAGCCCUCCGGCCUGGGCCCCAGGCCACCUGGAUGGAGCCAGGCAGGGACAGAGAGCCCUCCAGGUGAACAAAAUCUUCUUGCCUGGGGGCAAGAAAGGAGAUCCCAGGGGCUCAGAAUUUUUAAAAAUAAAUAAAUAAAAAG
This is a long non-coding RNA of Fukomys damarensis (Damara mole-rat), 1084 nucleotides long. RefSeq lists it as uncharacterized. The transcript is spliced from 4 exons. NCBI's taxonomy places the organism in Eukaryota, Metazoa, Chordata, Mammalia, Rodentia, Bathyergidae. The record is from RefSeq and is a predicted model, not a curated record.